UACGAGGGGGGCGAGCGUUGUUCGGAAUUACUGGGCGUAAAGCGCGUGUAGGCUGCUCGGAAAGUCGGAUGUGAAAGCCCUGGGCUUAACCUAGGAAGUGCAUUCGAAACUUCCGAGCUGGAGUUCUGGAGAGGAAGGCGGAAUUCUCGGUGUAGAGGUGAAAUUCGUAGAUAUCGAGAGGAACACCGGUGGCGAAGGCGGCCUUCUGGACAGUGACUGACGCUGAGACGCGAAAGCGUGGGGAGCAAACAGG
RNAcentral lists this ribosomal RNA (253 nucleotides) under uncultured bacterium. Its description in RNAcentral is "partial 16S ribosomal RNA". It matches the Rfam family "Bacterial small subunit ribosomal RNA", at positions 524 to 776 of the family's 1533-position model. The record is from RNAcentral.